GAUUAUGGCUCAGAAUCAACGCUGGCGGCGUGCCUAACACAUGCAAGUCGCACGAGAAAGUGGGAGCAAUCCCAUGAGUAAAGUGGCGUACGGGUGAGUAACACGUGACUAACCUACCCUUGAGUGGGGAAUAACUGGGGGAAACCCUGGCUAAUACCGCAUAACACCUACGGGUCAAAGGAGCAAUUCGCUCGAGGAGGGGGUCGCGGCCGAUUAGUUAGUUGGCGGGGUAAUAGCCCACCAAGACGAUGAUCGGUAUCCGGCCUGAGAGGGCGCACGGACACACUGGAACUGAAACACGGUCCAGACUCCUACGGGAGGCAGCAGUGGGGAAUUUUUGCGCAAUGGGGGGAAAAACCCCCUGACGCAGCAACGCCGCGUGGAGGAUGAAGUCCUUCGGGACGUAAACUCCUUUCGAUCGGGACGAUUAUGACGGUACCGGAAGAAGAAGCCCCGGCUAACUUCGUGCCAGCAGCUGC
Molecule: ribosomal RNA, 479 nt
Filed under: uncultured bacterium
Lineage: Bacteria
Description: bacterial SSU rRNA
Rfam family: Bacterial small subunit ribosomal RNA
Source: RNAcentral